GUCCUCCAACUCUCUGAGAUUCCCUAUCUACUCGUCGAGUAUCCUCCUUGACCCGACGAGUUACUCCUGGAAGAAUCGCGGGGCCACCCCGACUCAACUCGCCGAGUCUGAAGAACAACUCGACGAGUCCCAGUUAAUCUUCAAGCUACUCGCCGAGUCUGUUCAUCGAACUCGGCGAGUCCAUGCCAUGCAACCGCUCAAACUGCAUCCUAAGGUCAGAACUGCUUCGACCAUUCCUAGGUCUGGCCUUCCUAGGCUGAUCCAUCACGUAAAGUCCUCAUUUCAGUGCUCAUGAUACACCAUAUGAUUCAUAAUUUACAUUUUGACCUAAGGCAUAAGGAUUCCAAUCCAAAACCUUCAUCAAUUCCCGAAAUGCACAGACAUGGGACAUUCUGGACCUCCAAAGGUCCCAAUACAGGGUUACAAUCGAUUAGGGGACUAGGGUAACAUUCAAUCUAUUCACAAAAGGGUUCCAUAAACCCUAAUUCCAUAAUCACAUCAACAUAGCAGAGUAUACUCGAAUUCUUACCUGGAUGAUGUAUCCUCUGUGUCCCCAAUCCUCAGAAUGUGACUCCCUUGCUGCUCCUUUAGCCAAUCCCUUCUCUUCCUUGCACAACCACUCUUCUAUAAUCAACAAUGGCCUAUAAUCCUUGCUCCAGAUGCACACAAUCGAUUUAGGGUUCUUCUCAGAAGGCUAAAAUGAACAAUGACGGCCAAUGAGUCCCUUUUAUACGUCCCAAACCUGAACGGUUAGGGUUUUCGCUAAACAGCGUAGACUCGCCGAGUCCAUAUCUGGACUCGUCGAGUCCAGUCGCGAACCCGCGACCAAGUCUGCGAUCCUACUCGGCGAGUCUAGGCUCCAACUCGCCGAGUCCCCUCUUAAAUCACCCCAAAAACAUAAUUUAACAAUACCUGAGAUUUCGGGCUGUUACAACUCUCCCCCACUAGGAUUAGACUUCGCCCUCGAAGUCUCACUCUGAAAAUAGUUCCGGAUGCUGCUCCCGCAUCUCACGUUCCGGCUCCCAAGUCAUUUCCGAUCCCUUACGGUGUUGCCACUGAACCAACACCAGAGGUACCUCCUUGUUCCUCAGAACCUUGAUCUUCCGAUCCCUGAUGGCCACUGGUCUCUCGGCAUAAUUCAGGCUCGCAUCCACCUGAAUAUCCUCCAAUGGAACCACUGCCGACUCAUCGGCUAUGCACUUCCUCAAUUGCGACACAUGAAAAGUGUCGUGGAUCUGUCCCAACUCCGCUGGCAACUCCAACCGAUAGGCUACCCGGCCUAUCCUUGCAAUCACACGAAAUGGCCCAAUAUACCGGGGCCCCAACUUGCCCCUCUUCCUGAAUCGAAUCACUCCUUUCCAAGGAGAGACCUUCAGGAGAACGAAGUCGCCGACUUGAAACUCAAGCUCGGAUCGGCGCCUGUCUGCAUAACUCUUCUGUCGGCUCUGGGCGGUCAAUAACCUCUGUCUAACUUGCUGAAUCUGCUCUGUCGUCUGAAGCACGAUCUCUGUGCUGCCCAUCACUCUCUGUCCCACCUCUCCCCAGCAAAUGGGGGUCCGACACCUCCUACCAUACAACAGCUCAAAAGGUGGCAUACCAAUGCUCGAAUGAUGGCUGUUGUUGUAGGAAAACUCUGCUAAGGGUAAAUAUGCAUCCCAGCUACCCCCGAAGUCUAACACACACGCUCGAAGCAUGUCCUCCAGCGUCUGAAUCGUCCGCUCGCUCUGACCGUCUGUCUGGGGAUGGUAUGCGGUACUAAAAUGCAAUUUAGUACCCAGCUCCUCAUGGAAUUUCUUCCAGAACCUGGAAGUGAAGCGCACAUCACGGUCUGAAACAAUCGAGAUCGGCACUCCAUGCCGAGAUACCACUUCUCUCACAUAUAUCUCCGCCAACUUCUCCGCUGAAGAACUCUCGCUGAUGGCAAGGAAGUGUGCACUCUUCGUCAACCUAUCCACAAUCACCCAAAUUGCAUCAACUCCCCUGGCAGUCCUCGGCAAUUUGGUGAUGAAAUCCAUAGUGAUCUGUUCCCACUUCCACUCGGGGAUCUCCAAUGGCUGUAACUUGCCAUGCGGUCUCUGGUGCUCGGCCUUAACCCUACGACAGGUCAAGCACCUCUCAACGAACCAUGCGACGUCCCUCUUCAUACAGGGCCACCAAUACUCUUUCCUCAAAUCCAAAUACAUCUUCGUAGCACCGGGAUGGAUCGAGAAUUUCGAUCUAUGAGCCUCUUCCAUCAAAGUAAUACGCGUACCGCCCACGAACGGUACCCAAAUCCGACCCUGAAACGUCAUAAGCCCUCGUCCAUCCUUAACGAACUCUGAAAUUAACCCAACAACCCGCUCUUUCUUCUGCAUCUCUGGUCGCACAGCCUCGGCCUGUGCCCCACGAAUAGCAUCCAAUACUGGAGUCAUCACAGUCAGUCUCAAGCAUACAUCUCGCAAUGGAGUGCUCUCCGCCCUGCGGCUCAAUGCAUCGGCUACCACAUUAGCCUUGCCUGGGUGGUACAGGAUCUCACAAUCAUAAUCCUUGACCACAUCCAACCACCUCCUCUGACGCAUAUUUAGGUUGGGCUGAUCCAUCAAAUACUUCAAGCUCUUAUGGUCCGUGUAUAUCGUACAUCGAACCCCAUACAAGUAGUGACGCCAAAUCUUGAGAGCGAACACUACUGCCCCCAACUCUAAAUCAUGCGUGGGAUAUCUCGCCUCAUGAGGCUUCAGCUGCCUCGACGCAUAAGCUAUCACAUGACCCCUCUGCAUCAACACUGCACCCAGUCCCGAAAUCGAUGCGUCGCAAUAUACCACAAAAUCUUCCAUCCCUUCUGGGAGAGCUAAUACCGGGGCUUCGCACAACCUCUGGCGAAGUGUCUCAAAGGAGGUCUGCUGCUCGGGCCCCCAUGAGAAUGCAACACCCUUCCGGGUCAAUCUGGUGAGUGGCACUGCGAUCUUGGAGAAAUCCUUAAUGAAUCUCCGAUAAUACCCUGCCAACCCAAGGAAACUCCUGAUCUCAGAGGGUGACUUCGGCACCUCCCAACUCAUCACCGCCUCAACCUUGGCCGGAUCGACCAAUAUCCCUUUCUGAUUAACAACAUGUCCUAGAAAUUGGACCUCCCGCAACCAGAAGUCACAUUUGGAGAACUUUGCAUAAAGCUUCUCCGACCUCAAUACCUCAAGGACCUCCCUCAAAUGCUCCUCAUGCUGCUCUCUAGAUCUCGAAUACACCAGAAUGUCGUCGAUAAAUACAAUCACUGACCGAUCCAACAUCGGUCUGCAUACCCUGUUCAUGAGAUCCAUGAACACAGCCGGGGCAUUGGUGAGCCCGAAAGGCAUCACCACAAACUCAUAAUGCCCAUAUCGCGUCCUAAACGCUGUCUUCUGGACAUCCUCAUCCCGCACUCUCACCUGAUGGUACCCUGACCUCAGAUCGAUCUUGGAAAACCAAGAUGCUCCCUGCAACUGAUCGAAUAAAUCAUCGAUCCUCGGUAACGGGUAACGGUUCUUGACCGUCAACUUGUUCAACUCCCGGUAAUCAAUGCACAUCCGGUGUGAACCAUCCUUCUUCUUGACGAACAGAAUAGGUGCUCCCCACGGCGAGCUGCUCGGCCGAAUGAAUCCCUUCCCCAGCAACUCCUGGAGUUGCGAGGACAACUCUUGCAUCUCUGGAGGUGCAAGACGAUAAGGCACCUUAGCAAUAGGCGCGGCCCCCGGAACCAGAUCGAUACCAAACUCUACUUGCCUCACAGGAGGUACUCCCGGCAGCUCCUCGGGGAAAACAUCUGGAAACUCACGCACCACAGGGACCUCCUCAACUGACUUCGGUCUCUCGGAAACCUCCCGCGUAUCCAUCACAUACGCCACAAAACCCUUACAGCCCUGCUGUAGACACUGCCUCGCCCUAGCGGCCGAACAAAAAGCUGAUCCCGAACGGGUACCCUCGCCGUACACCGAAAGAACUCCCCCACUAGGGUCUCGUAUAGUCACCAACUGACGCUCACAGUCGAUGACAGCGCCGAAUCGGCUCAACCAGUCCAUGCCCACGAUGACACAGACAUCACCCAUCGCAAUAGGAAUCAGGUCAAUCGGGAAUUCAACCCCGAAAAUCUCUAGUACACAUCCCCGAAGAACCUCCGUAGCACAAAUCACUUUCUCGUCAGCUAUAGAAACUCUCAAAGGUCGACUCAACGACUCACGACUAACGCCGAUAUGCUGACUAAAGGCUAAGGACACAAAGGACCUACUCGCACCCGAGUCAAAUAACACUAAGGCAGGCACAGAGUUCACAAGGAAAGUACCUACGCGCAUAAUAACAUAAGCAUAACAUAUCGACAUUAAAAUAAUUACAUGAAUUACAACAUACCUGCCACAACAUCGGGCGCAGCGCGGACCUCCUCCGCAGUCAGCUGAAAGGCUCUUCCCCGAGCCCUCGGGGCCUCGGCCUUCACCGGUCGAGUCGCAGUAACUCCGGCAGCAGGUGCAGAUCCCUGAAGAAGCUGAGGGCACUCGGCCUUCCUAUGGCCAGUCUGGUUGCAAUGAAAGCAAACCGUAAAUCCCUUGGGGCACUCCCUAGCAAUGUGCCCCUCCUUGCCACACUUGUAGCAAGCACCAGAUCGACAUACUCCAUCAUGACUCUUGCCGCACUUCCCGCAAGUGCGACCCUUCGAACCUCCUGUCCUCGAAUCAGCGGACUUGGUCCGCUUGGCUGCCGGCUGGAACUGAGCCGGUCGCCGGUCCACCCGCUGAGACUCGGCCUCCUCCCUGGCCUGGGUCUCCAACUCGAUCUCGCGCUUCCUGGCAUUCGCCUGAAGCUCAGCAAAAGUAUGGUAAGUGGAGUUUGACACAAACUCCCGGAUAUCCCUCCUCAACACUCCCAAGUACCGGCUCAUCCGAGCCUGAUCUGUGGACACCAGCUCGGGGCAGAACAUCGCCCUCUCAUGAAACUUCCGCGUGAUCACCGCAACAGAAUCAGUACCCUGCUUGAGGGUUAAGAACUCCUGAACCAAUCGUUCCCUCUCCACCGGGGGAACGUACUCAUCCCUGAACAUGGCAGUAAACCCCUCCCAUGUCACUGCUGUAGUCUCUGCCAAAGUGAAGUUCGCCGUCACGAACUUCCACCAGUCCUUCGCUCCCAGACGGAGCUGGUUCAAAGCGAACCGUACCCUCAGGUGCUCCGGGCAUGAACAAGUGUAGAAGCACCCCUCUAUAUCCGCGAUCCACCUCAUCGCAGCAAUCGGAUCCUGCGUCCCAUCGAACUCUGGUGGCUUCGUGUUGCUGAACUCUCGGAACAGCAACGAGUCACCCCCCUGUGGCCUAGCAGCGGCCACAGCUGCGGUAGCUGCAGCGGUUGCAGCCUCAGUCAAUGCGGCGUACCGCUCAUCAAACGUCUCCAUCAGGGUGGUCUUAAUAGACCCAAACAUCUCCGGGAUCUCAGCCCGGAUCGCCGCAGCUACCUCCUCGUGAAUCAUCUGACGAAUCUCCUCGUCACUCACACCGCUCGAACUCGCUCCGUGGCGUGGUCUAACCAUGAUGUCUCUGAAAUACAACAUAAAACUAUCAGAGACUCCAUCGAGUAUAAUCGCACUCGAUAACGCAACCCUACUCAGUCUCCGAUAUCCAGGGAUUCUUACUUGGGUCUCCCACUGACCCGGUGUCUUCGGUAGUACGGGCCCAAUACUACCGACCACACCGCAUCAGCAUUCAUCCCAAAUCUUCCUCCCCAAACCCCGGAUAGUGAGUACUCUACUUCUGUUAUGCACUAUCUACCCGCACACUAGCAAAGCAUCUCAUAUCGGCAAACUUCCCUAGACUAAGGCAUCACAAAUCAGGCCACUCUAGUCCUAUCAUGAAUACCUAGUCUUCUAGCAUGCAUAACAAUUCAUAUCAUAUAAUAUUGUAAGGUAUUUUGGGGAUCUUUACCGUUCGGGCGCUGACUGAUCGUACACACUGCUUCUUUCUUGCUUACCACAAAACCAUUUACAAAAGUUUAUGCCUUUAUUUAAAAAGUUUUCCUCAAAUCCUCGGUUUGAGUUCAGUUACUCCCGAAGGUGCACCCGAAUCCCUCAAACCAAGGCUCUGAUACCAAUUGUAACAACGCAAAUUUUCAAACAAAUUUUUCAUUUUAAAAAUAAAGUAUUUCCAUUCAAAACAAGGCAUAAAUAAUUUAAGUGUCAUGUCAAAUACAAAUUGUCUAAAUCCCAAGAUCAUAAAAACAUUCUUCAGUGUGUAUCGAUCACGCCGGCGCCUUCCCACGGUCCUCGCUAGUACCUGAAACACAUACAUAACAACUGUAAGCAUAAAUGCUUAGUGAGUUCCCCAAUAUACAACUUACGCACAUACGCCUUUCCAGGCCCUGACCUUCCGGUCCUCAACACAACGCCUUCCGGCCCAUAACAUAAUCGCCUUCCGGCCCAUAACAUAUUGCCUUCCGGCCCACAUAACAUACAUAGCACAUAUAACAAAUAACUUACCACAUAUAGCAUACAUAUCACAUAUCAUAUCUGACCUUCCGGUCACACAGUCAAACCCUUCCGGGUACAGUAUAGUGAGAAGACUCACCUCGUGAAUGCUGAAAGCUAGCAAAUCCUGAAAUCACUCGUGCACAAUCCGACGAGCUACAACCUCCCUAUAACAUCACAUAUCUCUCAUUAACACUUAUAUCUUCUAAGUGUGACUAUCCCUAAGAAGUCAGACUUAGGUCAACUCUGGUCAACGGUCAACGGUCAACGGUCAACUCGACCGGACUCGGCGAGUGCCAUGGCGACUCGGCGAGUCUAGACGUCCUCCAACUCUCUGAGAUUCCCUAUCUACUCGUCGAGUAUCCUCCUUGACCCGACGAGUUACUCCUGGAAGAAUCGCGGGGCCACCCCGACUCAACUCGCCGAGUCUGAAGAACAACUCGACGAGUCCCAGUUAAUCUUCAAGCUACUCGCCGAGUCUGUUCAUCGAACUCGGCGAGUCCAUGCCAUGCAACCGCUCAAACUGCAUCCUAAGGUCAGAACUGCUCCGACCAUUCCUAGGUCUGGCCUUCAUAGGCUGAUCCAUCACGUAAAGUCCUCAUUUCAGUGCUCAUGAUACACCUUAUGAUUCAUAAUUUACAUUUUGACCUAAGGCAUAAGGAUUCCAAUCCAAAACCUUCAUCAAUUCCCGAAAUGCACAGACAUGGGACAUUCUGGACCUCCAAAGGUCCCAAUACAGGGUUACAAUCGUUUAGGGGACAAGGGUAACAUUCAAUCUAUUCACAAAA
RNAcentral lists this long non-coding RNA (7236 nucleotides) under Lactuca sativa (garden lettuce). RNAcentral describes it as "long non-coding RNA (LSAT_LNC005572)". Lineage: Eukaryota; Viridiplantae; Streptophyta; Magnoliopsida; Asterales; Asteraceae. The record is from RNAcentral.